AUACGGAGGGUGCAAGCGUUAAUCGGAAUUACUGGGCGUAAAGCGUACGUAGGCGGUCCGUUAAGUUAGAUGUGAAAGCCCCGGGCUUAACCUGGGAACUGCAUUUAAAACUGGCGAACUAGAGUUGAGUAGAGGGGAGCGGAAUUUCAGGUGUAGCGGUGAAAUGCGUAGAGAUCUGAAGGAACACCAGUGGCGAAGGCGACUCCCUGGACUCGAACUGACGCUGAGGUACGAAAGCGUGGGUAGCAAACGGGAUUAGAUACCCUAGUAGUCC
RNAcentral lists this ribosomal RNA (274 nucleotides) under uncultured bacterium. RNAcentral describes it as "partial 16S ribosomal RNA". It matches the Rfam family "Bacterial small subunit ribosomal RNA", at positions 523 to 796 of the family's 1533-position model. The record is from RNAcentral.